GACGAACGCUGGCGGCGUGCCUAACACAUGCAAGUCGAACGAGAAAGUGGAGCAAUCCAUGAGUAAAGUGGCGACCGGGUGAGUAACACGUGACUAACCUACCUUCGAGUGGGGAUAACCUCGGGAAACCGGGGCGUAAUACCGCAUAACAUCUUUGAAGUGGAAAUUUACGGUAGAUCAAAGGAAGCAAUUCGCUGGAAGAGGGGGUCGGCGGCUGAUUAGCUAGUUGGCGGGGUAACGGGCCCACCAAGGCUUAGAUCGGUAGCCGGCCUGAGAGGGCGACCGGCCACACUGGGACUGAGACACGGCCCAGACUCCUACGGGAGGGCAGCAGUGGGGAAGUCUUGCGCAAUGGGCGAAAGCCUGACGCAGCGACGCCGCGUGAGGGAUGAC
This 393-nucleotide ribosomal RNA is filed under the name uncultured bacterium. Its description in RNAcentral is "bacterial SSU rRNA". It matches the Rfam family "Bacterial small subunit ribosomal RNA", at positions 28 to 412 of the family's 1533-position model. The record is from RNAcentral.